Felis catus (domestic cat) is the source of this 85-nucleotide non-coding RNA. The record is from Rfam. Lineage: Eukaryota; Metazoa; Chordata; Mammalia; Carnivora; Felidae.
GCCUGGGUGGCUCAGUCAGUUAAGCAUCUGAUUUCAGCUCAGGUCAUGAGCUCACAGUCCGUGAGUUCGAGCCCCGCGUCAGGCU